CGGGGUGAGUAACGCGUGGAUAACCUGCCUCACACAGGGGGAUAACAGUUAGAAAUGACUGCUAAUACCGCAUAAGCGCGCAGUACCGCAUGGUACAGUGUGAAAAACUCCGGUGGUGUGAGAUGGAUCCGCGUCUGAUUAGGUAGUUGGUGGGGUAACGGCCCACCAAGCCGACGAUCAGUAGCCGACCUGAGAGGGUGACCGGCCACAUUGGGACUGAGACACGGCCCAA
RNAcentral lists this ribosomal RNA (232 nucleotides) under uncultured bacterium. RNAcentral's name for it is "partial 16S ribosomal RNA". It matches the Rfam family "Bacterial small subunit ribosomal RNA", at positions 104 to 334 of the family's 1533-position model. The record is from RNAcentral.